RNAcentral lists this small nuclear RNA (140 nucleotides) under Ipomoea nil (Japanese morning glory). RNAcentral's name for it is "U4 spliceosomal RNA". It matches the Rfam family "U4 spliceosomal RNA". Rfam says of the family: U4 small nuclear RNA (U4 snRNA) is a component of the major U2-dependent spliceosome. The structure of U4 snRNA from yeast and human has been reported. U4 snRNA presents a k-turn RNA motif in the 5p-SL related to recognition of Snu13 protein. The record is from Rfam by way of RNAcentral. Lineage: Eukaryota; Viridiplantae; Streptophyta; Magnoliopsida; Solanales; Convolvulaceae.
AUCUUUGCGCUUGGGGCAAUGACGCAGCUAGUGAGGUUAUAACCGAGGCGCGUUUAUUGCUGGUUGAAAACUAUUUCCAAACCCCCUCUUUGGCUUGACUUUCGCUCAAGCCUUUGAGAAUUUUGCAAGAUAGAUGAUAU